RNAcentral lists this ribosomal RNA (245 nucleotides) under uncultured bacterium. RNAcentral describes it as "partial 16S ribosomal RNA". It matches the Rfam family "Bacterial small subunit ribosomal RNA", at positions 524 to 768 of the family's 1533-position model. The record is from RNAcentral.
AACGUAGGAGGCGAGCGUUAUCCGGAUUUACUGGGUGUAAAGCGCGUGCAGGCGGUGGGCUAAGUUGGGUGUGAAAGCUCCUGGCUCAACUGGGAGAGGUCGCUCAAGACUGGCCGACUGGAGAGCAGUAAGGGAAGGUGGAAUUCCGGGUGUAGUGGUGAAAUGCGUAGAUAUCCGGAGGAACACCAGUGGCGAAGGCGGCCUUCUGGACUGCUUCUGACGCUCAGACGCGAAAGCUAGGGGAG